RNAcentral lists this ribosomal RNA (103 nucleotides) under Erinaceus europaeus (western European hedgehog). Lineage: Eukaryota; Metazoa; Chordata; Mammalia; Eulipotyphla; Erinaceidae. The record is from RNAcentral.
GUCUACGGCCCUACCACCCUGCACACGCCCAAUCUCAUCUGAUCUUGGAAGCUAAUCAGGGUCGGGCCUAGUUAGUACUUAGGUGGGAGAGUAGACUUAGACU